MicroRNA precursor from Oreochromis niloticus (Nile tilapia), 76 nucleotides. The record is from Ensembl. Lineage: Eukaryota; Metazoa; Chordata; Actinopteri; Cichliformes; Cichlidae.
UGCCAACUCUCGGUUCUCUGACUCCAAAAUGGCGGUUUGAGACGCCGAGCGAGUCUGUGAGCUUUGAGUCGGCAGC